This 164-nucleotide small nuclear RNA is filed under the name Dasypus novemcinctus (nine-banded armadillo). RNAcentral describes it as "U1 spliceosomal RNA (ENSDNOG00000038761.1)". It matches the Rfam family "U1 spliceosomal RNA". Rfam says of the family: U1 is a small nuclear RNA (snRNA) component of the spliceosome (involved in pre-mRNA splicing). Its 5' end forms complementary base pairs with the 5' splice junction, thus defining the 5' donor site of an intron. Lineage: Eukaryota; Metazoa; Chordata; Mammalia; Cingulata; Dasypodidae. The record is from RNAcentral.
AUACUUUCCUGGCAGGGGAGAUACCAUGAUCACAAAGGUUGUUUUCCCAGGGAGAGGUUUAUCCAUCGUACUCUGGAUGUGCUGACCCCUGUGAUUUCCCCAAAUGUGGGAAACUCAACUGCAAAGUUUGUGGUAGUGGGGAACUGCGUUCAUACUCUCCCCUA